RNAcentral lists this long non-coding RNA (1057 nucleotides) under Apteryx rowi (Okarito brown kiwi). Its description in RNAcentral is "lncRNA (ENSARWG00000012273.1)". Lineage: Eukaryota; Metazoa; Chordata; Aves; Apterygiformes; Apterygidae. The record is from RNAcentral.
CAAUCAAAAAGCUGUAAAUGUUUCCAGCUUUGUUGUAAAACAACCAUGACCAAAAUCACAUGCCUUUGUAGCUUAACAAUAACACUGGGACUUGAAGCUAUUACUGUGUAGCAGAGAUUCAAUGUGUCAGACUGCUAAGGAAACAGGAAAAAAACAUUCAGCAUGACUCUGAGGAGACUAAGAAACAUUAGUUAAAUAAAUGAUUUCAUAAAAAUACAUUUGACUGUGAUAAUCAUAGAAAAUUAAAGUGAUAUAUAUAUAUAUAUAAGGAGGGAAAUCCCUUCUGUUUGGCAAGAGAUUUUGGAGAUACCCAGUCUUCAGUGCAGCUAAGGCUUGGAUCUCUAGGUUUGCAGAAGUGGUUAGAUGGACACGCCCUGUCAGGGAUAUCAGUGCCAUAAUCUACAUUACCUGGUCCUUCAUGUAGAAGUGAUUUCUGUUUUUUCUCUACUUUUCUUCUCUUCUUGAGUCUUGAGCAGCUUUCAUAUUUAGAUCCUGCUCUCUCCACUGAGCUGGGCAGAGAAAGGAGAGGAAGACUUUAGUAUCCACAGGGUAAAAUUUCAUGUUGCAUUUUUUGCACAGCUUCAAGCAUGCAUUUAUGAAGAGGUGUAGCAAGUCUACAACUGGAUGUGGCUCCACCUUCCUGCUGAAGUACCAGGUGCUUCUCAGCGAGCUCUGGGUGCUGUGCAGGAAGGAUGAGGCGGUGUGCGGGCGGGAAGAUGAGGAGGAGGUUUUGGGCCUGAAAUGCACCAGCACCUUCAUCCUCGUGUGGCCCCCCAACCUCUGCGUGGUCACUUUUCGGUCGCAGGAGGUGAAGGAGCUGUGGCUCAACGCCCUCCUCAGGAGGCCCGGAGGCAGCAGAAGCGGGGCCGUUGCAGAGCAGUGCUGCCAGCCAGCGCUGCGGGAAGGUCUCCAGUGUCCGGGUGGCAGGGAGGUGCUGAGCUGGUGCCGGGGGAGUGAGCAGAGGGGGCUGGCUGUGACCGAGCUCUGCUUUCAUCCCUGCCCUGUGCCCAGGCAAAGCCGAGGAGCCCAGGAGACCCGGGUCACCCGACUCACCUCC